RNAcentral lists this ribosomal RNA (253 nucleotides) under uncultured bacterium. Its description in RNAcentral is "partial 16S ribosomal RNA". It matches the Rfam family "Bacterial small subunit ribosomal RNA", at positions 524 to 776 of the family's 1533-position model. The record is from RNAcentral.
UACGAAGGGGGCUAGCGUUGCUCGGAAUCACUGGGCGUAAAGGGUGCGUAGGCGGGUCUUUAAGUCAGAGGGGAAAUCCUGGAGCUCAACUCCAGAACUGCCUUUGAUACUGAGGAUCUUGAGUACGGGAGAGGUGAGUGGAACUGCGAGUGUAGAGGUGAAAUUCGUAGAUAUUCGGAAGAACACCAGUGGCGAAGGCGACUUACUGGACACAUAUUGACGCUGAGGUGCGAAAGCGUGGGGAGCAAACAGG